CGCGCAGGCGGAUUAUCAAGUCAGAUGUGAAAUCUCAGGGCUUAACCCUGAAACUGCGUCUGAAACUGGCAAUCUAGAAUCUCAUAGGGGGUAGGGGAAUUUCACGUGUAGGGGUAAAAUCCGUAGAGAUGUGAAGGAACACCGGAGGCGAAGGCGCCUGCCUGGAUGAGUAUUGACGCUGAGGCGCGAAAGCGUGGGGAGCAAACA
Molecule: ribosomal RNA, 207 nt
Filed under: uncultured delta proteobacterium
Lineage: Bacteria; Deltaproteobacteria
Description: partial 16S ribosomal RNA
Rfam family: Bacterial small subunit ribosomal RNA
Source: RNAcentral